GCGCGAAUUUAAGCGCAAGUGAUUGGUGACUCGGGGCUCACUCAGGCGGAGGCUAUGCGUCUCACCUGUGGUCACGAGUUGUUAGUUCGUUCGUGAUGUAGGAAUUCAGGCUCACUCAGGCGGAGGCUAUGCGUCUCACCUGUGGUCACGAGUUGUUAGUUCGUUCGUGAUGUAGGAAUUCAAGCUUUCGGGCGGAAGCUAUGGUCGACGCCAGAGGCCACGAGUCGUUUAAUUUAAGUUAGGUCAUAAUGUAGUCGUCAAGCUUUCGGGCGGAGGCUAUGGCCCUCGUCAGGGGUCACGCGUCAUAGUUUUUAAAAUGUAAUGUUCGUUCGGGAUUUCAAGGGCAGGAGAGGCCCCUACGUUAUUUUUUUAAAGUAAUCGAUCAAGAAAGGCUUUUCGGAAAAUGUGAGUAUGGACUUAUCUUUGUUUUAAUUUUAAGUAUUAAUUAUGAUUUGAGGUAUUCGGAAGGACUAGGGAAGUGUUUAGUGAAGUUCUCUCAUUCUCUCUCUUGUAAGGUCGUUCAAUCGUUAAGGAAGUAAAGAGAUUAUUGUUUUAAAUUGUAAUCCCGCUAUUUAAAUGUUCUUUAAAAUGAUGUUGAGUAUUUGACUUUAAGAAUAAAAUAAUUUUAAUUAAGUAUUAUGUUAUUUUGCAAAAUCUCCUUAGUUCAGCUCUCACCAGACAUCCUGUACGGGAUGACGAACCUAUGAUCCUAGGUACAGUAAAGUAUUUUAUGAAGUUAAGACUAGUUGAUGCCAAGCGAGUUGUUUCUAUGUAAAGAGCUACGAUUCUCGCCCCCCCCUCUGAAGGUGGAUCGUGACAGAAAUGGCGGUGGCACCGGCUAGGUGCACGUGACAGAAACGGUAGAGUUCGCGGGAUAGGUUCUAUUUCUGGAGAGAGAGAGAGGUAGAUUUUUAUGUUUAUUAUUAAGUUAGUUUCAGCUUCUGAUAGCAGGUUAUUAAGAGUUUACUUGAGGAGAGGAUUACGGAAUUUAAUCUAAGUGGAGGAAGUCUUUGAGAUUUUUUUUUUUGACGUAACAGAUGUUUAUUUGAGGAUACUUGUAAGGAUAAAGUUUAUAGUGAUAAGUUGUUUUAAGUCGUUGAAUUUAUUGUAGAUUUAUAUCGGGGAUUAUUACGUGAGGAGAAUACGUUAUAAGUUAAAUGCUUAUUAGAGAUAAUGCAAGUGGUUUAAUUUAAUUGAAGUUCAUUUUAAGAUUGUAGGUUAAGAGAAUUAUAAUUUAAAAUAAAGUUUUUUGUCGUAAAUAGGAAUUAUUUUCAAGAGAAGUUUGUUUUGUUUUCGUGCGCGUAGGAGACGAGACGUACGAAUUAAAUCAGUCGAGGGAAGGAUAAACGUUAGAAAGGAAUUAAAGAGAAAACGAGAGUUUAUGUAAAAGAGAGUUAUAGAAUUUAUAGUGAUGUUUUGUUUUAAUAAGAAAAAUGUUGAGAGUUGUUUCAGAACGACACGUCAGUGGACGUGGCAGAGUGAACACGUGACGGGGAGGUGCUGAGACCUAGCGGAGAACGGAGGAACCGCAAGCGAGGGUUGGCGCACCUGAUGGAAUUCGGUGACGUCACGGGCUCAUACGGAGACGUGGACAGGCCGUGACCUUGUUUUGAUCAGCUGUACGGUAACUUAGCGAUAAGAAAAUAGACUAUUGGUUAAAUACAUUUAAAUUUAAGUGUGUUUUAGGAGAAGAGGAACUUUCAGUAUAUUCCUUAAGAUGAGCUGAGCAGCAGUCCAGUUUACAAGAUGACAAGAGUUCGAGAGACAAGAUACAAGAUCACUGAAACAAGAGCCAAGACUGAAGAUUCAAGAGAAGAGAAAGCUGGCAGCCAUGGACUUACAAGUGGAGAUUAAUAAGGUCAUGUAAAGUUUUAUUUUUUUUUAUGGAAGACAGUAACUGGAGUUUUUUUUGUUAUAAACAUUAUUUACAGAACUUUUUAGGUUAUAGUAAUGUAAUGGAACUAGUGAGUUGUGGUAGCUGUCAAAAAGAACUAAUACCUUAAGUUUAAUUUUUAAAGUUAAUUUUCUUAAUUUACAGAGGGAUUAGUAGUUUUUUUUAAAACCUUAUUUAGGUUGGAAUUUAAAUACAAUAGCUUAUUAUAAAUGUGUACGAACAGUUCAAGUUCACAGUACUGAUAGGUAGGUCAGAUGAUCUUAUUGAUUUUGAUGAUUUGUUGUUUUGAGUUGAUUUUUAAGUGUUGUGAAUUAGACAAUGAAAUAGUUCUGAAAACUUAAAUUAUUUCAAGCUAAGAAAUAGUAAAGUUAAUUGUAACUCAAAGGACACCAGAAUUUAAUUUUUUUUUGAAUUAGUAAUGUUUGAAAAUUUUAUACUUUACAAGAAAGGUUAUAAACAAACAGAUCGGAUGGAACAAGGAUGCAGUAAAUCACAAUUUCAUUUAGAAUUAUUGAUUAGCUUUUGAGGUUAUGAAGUAAAAGUAAUUAUAGUUUAAAAGUUUGAAUAAAAAAAAAAUGUUUUUUUUUAUUUGUUUGAAAUAGAAAGUUUAAAAGUUAAUUAGUCAUGAUCUAGGUGGGUGAUGGGGUGGGAAUUGGCCACUCUUUUUCCCUAUAACCUCCCUAACAUGGCCUUCUAUUACAACUAACAGAAAUAAAGAAGAAGAAAAAUGAAGAAUUAUUAGUUAGAAUGUUUCUUUCAUGAAGAUACCUGAUGAACUUUUACUGUUUGGAAGAAUAGAAGCAAGGUUAGUCAGAUAUUUUUACUCAGAAGAAGAAGAAGAUAAAGCAGUUUUAUGACUCGACAAGCCAGAGAUUGGUGUUUCCCCUCUGCGCUUCUAUUGACUACGUUGUUUACUCUCAUGGGAUAGCUGGUUCGGCACCAUGGAGAGAGAUUGGUGGGCAUUGUGGUUGCCCCCAGAAGAAAAGAAGAGUAGAAGAGGUUAUGGGUGGGUCAUGUGAACUGACCUUCAACCCAGUUACUUCGUGGGGACUAUUUGCUGUAUAGAGAAGAUCAAGACUCAAGAGUUAGGGAAAAUCAUUGGAGGUCAUGUUUCCCUUCCUUAAGUUUUUCCUAUCAAAUUAUUUGCCUGAUUAGAUUAUGCUAAGGGUGGGAUACUUUAUGUUAGCAGUUGUAUUAAUUAAUUUUAUUUUUUUGUGUGUUUGCAUCCUUGCCCAUCGAUUGCAGUUUAGUAGUUAGUUUUGUAUUUGUCAGGCGUGAUGGUAAUGCCUGUUGAUGAUGUUUCAGAAUUGUAAUCUGUUCGUGAUGAGGAUGGCACAACUCCGAAGCAGAUGUGGGGAGAAGUUGUGAGCUGCCCUGGAAGCCAGUCCAGUAGCUGUUGGAGUUGAGUGGUGUUUGCUGAUGGCCAGCCCAGGGAGCUACUCUUCUCGACAACACUGACUUCGAGGAGUUGCACCAACCUUCACGAGAUAAGAGUUUAAUUAAUUGAAACACUGUAAGGACACUUAAUUUUUUUUGAAGAACGAAAGAAGUAUGGUAAUAAACGGAAACCGAAAAAAAAAAAA
Long non-coding RNA from Bacillus rossius redtenbacheri, 3477 nucleotides. RefSeq lists it as uncharacterized. The transcript is spliced from 2 exons. NCBI's taxonomy places the organism in Eukaryota, Metazoa, Arthropoda, Insecta, Phasmatodea, Bacillidae. The record is from RefSeq and is a predicted model, not a curated record.